AGGGUUUGAUUCUGGCUCAGGAUGAACGCUAGCUACAGGCUUAACACAUGCAAGUCGAGGGGCAGCAUUUCAUUUUGCUUGCAAAGUGAAGAUGGCGACCGGCGCACGGGUGAGUAACACGUAUCCAACCUGCCGAUAACUCGGGGAUAGCCUUUCGAAAGAAAGAUUAAUAUCCGAUAGCAUAUCAAUCGCGCAUGAGAUUGAUAUUAAAGAAUUUCGGUUAUCGAUGGGGAUGCGUUCCAUUAGUUUGUUGGCGGGGUAACGGCCCACCAAGACUACGAUGGAUAGGGGUUCUGAGAGGAAGGUCCCCCACAUUGGAACUGAGACACGGUCCAA
Molecule: ribosomal RNA, 336 nt
Filed under: uncultured bacterium
Lineage: Bacteria
Description: bacterial SSU rRNA
Rfam family: Bacterial small subunit ribosomal RNA
Source: RNAcentral